UAGCUUAAUUGGUAAAGAAUCUGCCUACAAUGCAGGAGAUCCUGGUUCAAUCCCUGG
This 57-nucleotide transfer RNA is filed under the name Capra hircus (goat). It matches the Rfam family "tRNA", at positions 8 to 63 of the family's 71-position model. Rfam says of the family: Transfer RNA (tRNA) molecules are approximately 80 nucleotides in length. Their secondary structure includes four short double-helical elements and three loops (D, anti-codon, and T loops). Lineage: Eukaryota; Metazoa; Chordata; Mammalia; Artiodactyla; Bovidae. RNAcentral also lists the same sequence under 1 other name. The record is from Rfam by way of RNAcentral.